This 247-nucleotide long non-coding RNA is filed under the name Ictidomys tridecemlineatus (thirteen-lined ground squirrel). RNAcentral describes it as "lncRNA (ENSSTOG00000034160.1)". The record is from RNAcentral. Lineage: Eukaryota; Metazoa; Chordata; Mammalia; Rodentia; Sciuridae.
UCUUCCUGAUGCCCCAGUUGCCAGGAAACCCUGCUGUGAGGAGACAGGCUAUCAGGAUCCCUACAAACAGUAAGAAACACCCGAGAGGAGCAUGUGCAGGGCAUCUGAGCAAAUGGAUCCCUGGAAGCAGGAGGAGCUUGCUGACGAGGGCUGGUGAGCCCACAGCUCCCACGUCAGGAAAAGGCACACUGAAGCCAACACAAGGCCCGUUUUGGCCCACAGAUGGCAAAGAACUCUGAGAAAGUAA